This is a long non-coding RNA of Budorcas taxicolor (takin), 204 nucleotides long. RefSeq lists it as uncharacterized. The transcript is spliced from 3 exons. Lineage: Eukaryota; Metazoa; Chordata; Mammalia; Artiodactyla; Bovidae. The record is from RefSeq and is a predicted model, not a curated record.
CCAGAGAAGAGAUGGUGAGAUGGCGCUGGGAGUCACUGCUGCUGUGGGGUGUGUGCUUGGGGGGAGCCCUGUGAUGUCACAUCAGGAGCCCAGAGAUGGCAGAUAUUUUUCCCCGAACAAUUUGAGGACCACAGGAACCAGGGAGGUCGCAGAACUAGGGAGGAGACAAGCCGUGGCAGAGCUGGGUGACAGCCAGGAGGACAC